This is a non-coding RNA of Gasterosteus aculeatus aculeatus (three-spined stickleback), 1679 nucleotides long. The record is from RefSeq and is a predicted model, not a curated record. NCBI's taxonomy places the organism in Eukaryota, Metazoa, Chordata, Actinopteri, Perciformes, Gasterosteidae.
CCAAAGGAUUUUGUGCGUUUGUUUCUCUGUUUUGUCAGAUUUUUGAUUUUGAUUUUCUACUGGGCUCAUGUGUCCCUGUAAGAUGGAUGAGGCGCGUGUGUGAGUCUAUAUCCGUGGUUUGAAUGAGUAUAUCAACAGUGCUGUUCUUUUCUGUACAGUGAAACACCUGUAUUCUCUCUACCUCUUUUACAAUAAAGACUCUCUGUAUUCACAACCAGACAGUUGCUGCUCUGGAUUUGUGUCAAAAGGCUUGAAGGAUAUAAGCGUGCAGUAUUUAAGUGUUGAGUCACUAUAAUCACACCUUAGUUUUGCCAUCUUUUACCCAAUUUUGGAUGUUUUCCUCUUUUUCCCUCAAUAUGAUGGAGAUGAAUUUGAUUUCUGCCACAGAUCUCUGUAAGUACUUUUUUUAUAUUGAAACGGUAAUAAAAAAACGGACCACGCGGGAUUGUUUUAGGAUGUAUUGGGGCCAGGUUGAAGUAUAAAGUUGUUUAUGUGUUAAACGUUUAAGAUUAAUGAAUUCAGACGCUGCCUCAGACCGAAUCAUAAAUAUAUAUUAUAUAUAAACCAUUUCACAGCUGUAAACUUAAGCAUUCUAAAUGUUCCCAGUUAGUUAGGGAGUAAAGCUGGAUCCAAAUUCAGACAGAUGUGGAAUACAGAUUCAGAUUUAGCAUAAUAAUGUGUGAAUAAUGAAGCAGGAGAAGCAUGUAAAUAUGUUCUAGAAGUAACUGAAAAAUAAAGAACAUAUUUUCAAAAAUAGACACUGAAAAAGUAGACCACUACAACACAAUACGAUGUGAUACCACGUUUCACACAGAGCAUGUGUUGUAUUUAGCUUUAUACAAUGUUCUGCAAGAUAAAAUCCUUUUUAGAGUCAAUGUCUAUUUACUUUUGAUUGGCAGAUAUACUGGAGUUCGUUGUGGACUUUUAUGUGUUUGUUUUUUCAGCGUUUAUUUUCGAAAAAGGUUUUUACAUUUUUAAACACCUUUGACGGUAGUUACCAUGGAAACCAUCAAUGCAUCUUUGAGUUUCAGUGAGGAAAAGACACCGGAUCGCCUGGCAGCUUCAACUUCAUCGAGAGACAAAAGAAGAAAAAAAACAGAAGAGAAGACAACCAUCAACAUGAGCUCAUCAGAGACAUCAACAAAUCCAGCCGGACCUCGUGGGGAGGGUGAGGAGAGUCUCACCGGGGGGCAAGUAGAUCCACGUCAGUGUGCUGACACUGUGGAGAAACCACACUGCUGCGCCUCGACCUCCUCAGAGCAUGACGGAGGAGGCCCCUCCACCUGUGAGGCCCAUCCAGGAGAGAAGCCCUUCACCUGUGAGCAGUGUGGGAGGAGUUUCUAUCAAAAAGCCAAUUUGAAGAAUCACCAGCGGAUCCAUACUGGUGAGAAGCCCUUCACCUGUGAGCAGUGUGGGAGGAGUUUCUAUCGAAAAGCCGAUUUGAAGACUCACCAGCGGAUCCAUACUGGUGAGAAGCCCUUCACCUGUGAGCAGUGUGGGAGGAGUUUCCGUCACCGUCGGCCUUUCAGGGAUCAUCAACACGUUCACGCUGGAGAAUAAAGUGAGGCUCGUGAGUCUCUCUUUGGUGCGAAGCUUCGACCUGGACUGUCUGUAUCUCUAGUUGUUAAAAAAAGUCACAUGAUAUCAACAAGUUGACAUUAAAAGAUCAUUGACGUUUA